RNAcentral lists this ribosomal RNA (253 nucleotides) under uncultured bacterium. Its description in RNAcentral is "partial 16S ribosomal RNA". It matches the Rfam family "Bacterial small subunit ribosomal RNA", at positions 524 to 776 of the family's 1533-position model. The record is from RNAcentral.
UACAGAGGGUGCAAGCGUUGUUCGGAAUUAUUGGGCGUAAAGGGCGCGUAGGCGGUGCGGUAAGUCUUUUGUGAAAUCUCCGGGCUCAACUCGGAGUCUGCAGGAGAAACUGCCGUGCUGGAGUAUGGGAGAGGUGAGUGGAAUUCCCGGUGUAGCGGUGAAAUGCGCAGAUAUCGGGAGGAACACCAAUUGCGAAGGCAGCUCGCUGGGACGUCACUGACGCUGAGACGCGAAAGCGUGGGGAGCAAACAGG